This is a long non-coding RNA of Cephus cinctus (wheat stem sawfly), 366 nucleotides long. RefSeq lists it as uncharacterized. The record is from RefSeq and is a predicted model, not a curated record. The transcript has 2 exons. NCBI's taxonomy places the organism in Eukaryota, Metazoa, Arthropoda, Insecta, Hymenoptera, Cephidae.
GACUACAAGAUUAUUGACGGCACCAAUAACGCUAUUGGCAAUGACAAUGACAGACAACAAUAAAGUUAGUGAUGAUACGAGAACUAAGAAAAGAUGAAGACACGAGGGUGACAAUGAUAAGGGUUAUUAGAUGUGAGAGAAGCGUGGGUGCCGAGACUAAACUAACGUAAGUGCGGUGUACAAUUGUUAGCACGAUAAUUAAUUUGGAUACGACGCAUACGUGACAUUUUUAAUAAAUUUUUAAAUAAUGAUCAUGAUACUAUCGUAAAUAUAUACUACGUAUAAUAUACUGAACGUUGUUUCUAAUGACACGUUUACUUAGCAAAAUCAAAUAAACGCAAUUUCUUGUUAUCGCCGUUGCCCUCA